AUGCAGUCGAGCGGAACGAGUUAUCUGAACCUUCGGGGAACGAUAACGGCGUCGAGCGGCGGACGGGUGAGUAAUGCCUAGGAAAUUGCCCUGAUGUGGGGGAUAACCAUUGGAAACGAUGGCUAAUACCGCAUGAUGCCUACGGGCCAAAGAGGGGGACCUUCGGGCCUCUCGCGUCAGGAUAUGCCUAGGUGGGAUUAGCUAGUUGGUGAGGUAAGGGCUCACCAAGGCGACGAUCCCUAGCUGGUCUGAGAGGAUGAUCAGCCACACUGGAACUGAGACACGGUCCAGACUCCUACGGGAGGCAGCAGUGGGGAAUAUUGCACAAUGGGCGCAAGCCUGAUGCAGCCAUGCCGCGUGUGUGAAGAAGGCCUUCGGGUUGUAAAGCACUUUCAGUCGUGAGGAAGGUAGUGUAGUUAAUAGCUGCAUUAUUUGACGUUAGCGACAGAAGAAGCACCGGCUAACUCCGUGCCAGCAGCCGCGGUAAUACGGAGGGUGCGAGCGUUAAUCGGAAUUACUGGGCGUAAAGCGCAUGCAGGUGGUUUGUUAAGUCAGAUGUGAAAGCCCGGGGCUCAACCUCGGAAUUGCAUUUGAAACUGGCAGACUAGAGUACUGUAGAGGGGGGUAGAAUUUCAGGUGUAGCGGUGAAAUGCGUAGAGAUCUGAAGGAAUACCGGUGGCGAAGGCGGCCCCCUGGACAGAUACUGACACUCAGAUGCGAAAGCGUGGGGGAGCAAACAGGAUUAGAUACCCUGGUAGUCCACGCCGUAAACGAUGUCUACUUGGAGGUUGUGGCCUUGAGCCGUGGGCUUUCGGAGCUAACGCGUUAAGUAGACCGCCUGGGGAGUACGGUCGCAAGA
Molecule: ribosomal RNA, 859 nt
Filed under: Vibrio sp.
Lineage: Bacteria; Pseudomonadati; Pseudomonadota; Gammaproteobacteria; Vibrionales; Vibrionaceae
Description: bacterial SSU rRNA
Rfam family: Bacterial small subunit ribosomal RNA
Source: RNAcentral